This 495-nucleotide ribosomal RNA is filed under the name uncultured bacterium. RNAcentral describes it as "partial 16S ribosomal RNA". It matches the Rfam family "Bacterial small subunit ribosomal RNA", at positions 28 to 507 of the family's 1533-position model. The record is from RNAcentral.
GAUGAACGCUGGCGGCGUGCCUAAUACAUGCAAGUAGAACGCUGAAGGAGGAGCUUGCUCUUCUGGAUGAGUUGCGAACGGGUGAGUAACGCGUAGGUAACCUGCCUGGUAGCGGGGGAUAACUCUUGGAAACGAUAGCUAAUACCGCAUGACAACAGUUAUUGCAUGAUAACUGUUUAAAAGGGGCAACUGCUCCACUACCAGAUGGACCUGCGUUGUAUUAGCUAGUUGGUGAGGUAACGGCUCACCAAGGCGACGAUACAUAGCCGACCUGAGAGGGUGGUCGGCCACACUGGGACUGAGACACGGCCCAGACUCCUACGGGAGGGAGCAGUAGGGAAUCUUCGGCAAUGGACGGAAGUCUGAGCGAGCAACGCCGCGUGAGUGAAGAAGGUUUUCGGAUCGGAAAGCUCGGUUGUAAGGGAAGAACGAGUGUGAGAGUGGAAAGUUCACACUGUGACGGUAUCUGACCAGAAAGGGACGGCUAACUACGUG